AACGUUUUAGAGUGCAAAAAAAACGUUUGAGAGAAAAAUCAAACGUUUGAAACAGAAAAAAACUUUCGAGAGAGGGAAAACAUUUGGAAAGAUAUUUCUUUUUUUUGGUAAUGGCGGGAAAUUACCAUUAUGGUGGUAAUGGCGGUAAUUCUCGGGAGUGGAUGUACAAGAGGUUUGAUGAAAUGACGGGAAAUUUCUCAGCAGAGUUUGAAGCGGGGGUAGAGAAAUUCAUGACAUAUGCAAAU
This 245-nucleotide long non-coding RNA is filed under the name Capsella rubella. RNAcentral describes it as "long non-coding RNA (CRUB_LNC000197)". The record is from RNAcentral. Lineage: Eukaryota; Viridiplantae; Streptophyta; Magnoliopsida; Brassicales; Brassicaceae.